UUGAACGCUGGCGGCAGGCCUAACACAUGCAAGUCGAGCGGAUGAGUGGAGCUUGCUCCAUGAUUCAGCGGCGGACGGGUGAGUAAUGCCUAGGAAUCUGCCUGGUAGUGGGGGACAACGUUUCGAAAGGAACGCUAAUACCGCAUACGUCCUACGGGAGAAAGCAGGGGACCUUCGGGCCUUGCGCUAUCAGAUGAGCCUAGGUCGGAUUAGCUAGUAGGUGAGGUAAUGGCUCACCUAGGCGACGAUCCGUAACUGGUCUGAGAGGAUGAUCAGUCACACUGGAACUGAGACACGGUCCAGACUCCUACGGGAGGCAGCAGUGGGAAUAUUGGACAAUGGGCGAAAGCCUGAUCCAGCCAUGCCGCGUGUGUGAAGAAGGUCUUCGGAUUGUAAAGCACUUUAAGUUGGGAGGAAGGGCAGUAAGUUAAUACCUUGCUGUUUUGACGUUACCAACAGAAUAAGCACCGGCUAACUUCGUG
This 482-nucleotide ribosomal RNA is filed under the name uncultured bacterium. RNAcentral describes it as "bacterial SSU rRNA". It matches the Rfam family "Bacterial small subunit ribosomal RNA", at positions 30 to 507 of the family's 1533-position model. The record is from RNAcentral.